ACAGUCUCCUGUGGUUUUUAUCCGGUUGGCUGCUGCGGGAGCGGGCUCGCGCCCGGGCGGCUCCGUAAAAGAAAAAAAAAAACGGUGUGACAGCUCAGAGCUGUCCACGUCAACAUACCGAGUGAGCUGCGAGCGAGCACGGCGGCGGCAGCAGCAGCGAUGGACUCUCUGGAACCUUCCCUCUAUACAGUGAAAGCUGUUUUCAUUCUUGACAAUGAUGGCAACAGACUUCUGUCAAAGUACUAUGACCCUGAGCUUUACCCCUCCAUGAAGGAACAGAAGAACUUUGAGAUGAACGUUUUCAACAAGACACACAAAGCAGACAAUGAGAUAGCUUUCCUGGAGGGGAUGACCAUCGUCUAUAAGAGCAGUAUAGAUCUCUUCUUCUAUGUGGUGGGAAGUGCCCAGGAGAACGAGCUGAUGCUGAUGUCAGUGCUGAACUGCCUCUUUGAGUCCCUCAGUCAGAUCCUCAGGAAAAAUGUGGAGCGGAGGUGUUUACUAGACAACAUGGAAGGAGUGUUUCUGGUUGUGGAUGAAAUCAUUGAUGGAGGGGUGAUUCUGGAGAGUGACCCCCAGCAGGUCCUACAGAAGGUCAACUACAGGCUAAUGUCAGAGCCAGCCUAUGGCUUCGUCCUGUUUGAUUACAUCACCGGUAACGUAGAGGGAGAAACAGUCAAGAGCCAGCUGCUGUAAGCAGACAGACAGAGGGCGGAUGAAAACCCAUUAUCUGAACAAAGCGUGGCCCAGCACAUAACAGAGAAACUGGUUCUGACCACUAACGUUCUGCAGUCGGCCAAAGAGCAGAUCAAAUGGUCCAUUCUGAAAUGACUCGGACCAGACACAUUUAGGAUUCUCAUGAAA
This is an RNA transcript of Sander lucioperca (pikeperch), 861 nucleotides long. It is a transcript of the gene named COPI coat complex subunit zeta 2, with no coding region annotated. NCBI's taxonomy places the organism in Eukaryota, Metazoa, Chordata, Actinopteri, Perciformes, Percidae. The transcript is spliced from 11 exons. The record is from RefSeq and is a predicted model, not a curated record.